Molecule: ribosomal RNA, 541 nt
Filed under: Candidozyma auris
Lineage: Eukaryota; Fungi; Ascomycota; Pichiomycetes; Serinales; Metschnikowiaceae
Description: [Candida] auris partial large subunit ribosomal RNA
Rfam family: Eukaryotic large subunit ribosomal RNA
Source: RNAcentral
GGAGGAAAAGAAACCAACAGGGAUUGCCUCAGUAACGGCGAGUGAAGCGGCAAGGAGCUCAACUUUGGAAUCGCUCCGGCGAGUUGUAGUCUGGAGGUGGCCACCACGAGGUGUUCUAGCAGCAGGCAAGUCCUUUGGAACAAGGCGCCAGCGAGGGUGACAGCCCCGUACCUGCUUUUGCUAGUGCUUCCUGUGGCCCACCGACGAGUCGAGUUGUUUGGGAAUGCAGCUCUAAGUGGGUGGUAAAUUCCAUCUAAGGCUAAAUAUUGGCGAGAGACCGAUAGCGAACAAGUACAGUGAUGGAAAGAUGAAAAGCACUUUGAAAAGAGAGUGAAACAGUACGUGAAAUUGUUGAAAGGGAAGGGCUUGCACCCAGACACGGUUUCGGCCGGGCCAGCAUCAAGUAGAACGGGGUUAAAAGACCUGGGGAAUGUAGCUACCUCUUGGUAGUGUUAUAGCCCUUGGGUGAUGACCCCUGUUUUGCUUGAGGACAGCGGUCUCUAGGAUGCUGGCGCAAUGGUUGCAAGCCACCCGUCUUGAA